GCUUGCUUCCGCAGGACAUAUACUAAAAUUGGAAUGAUACAGAGAAGAGUAGCAUGGCCCCUGCACAAGGAUGACACACAAAAUUCAGGAAGUGCUCCCUGCUUAG
Mauremys mutica (yellowpond turtle) is the source of this 106-nucleotide small nuclear RNA. NCBI's taxonomy places the organism in Eukaryota, Metazoa, Chordata, Testudines, Geoemydidae. The record is from RefSeq and is a predicted model, not a curated record.